Molecule: ribosomal RNA, 206 nt
Filed under: uncultured bacterium
Lineage: Bacteria
Description: partial 16S ribosomal RNA
Rfam family: Bacterial small subunit ribosomal RNA
Source: RNAcentral
CACGCAGGCGGUCUGUCAAGUCGGAUGUGAAAUCCCCGGGCUCAACCUGGGAACUGCAUUCGAAACUGGCAGGCUAGAGUCUUGUAGAGGGGGGUAGAAUUCCAUGUGUAGCGGUGAAAUGCGUAGAUAUAUGGAGGAACACCGGUGGCGAAAGCGGCUCUCUGGUCUGUAACUGACACUGAGGCUCGAAAGCGUGGGAGCAAACA